CCUUUUUUCUUUUCUUUAAACCUAGAUCCAUGAUGCAUACAUUGAGUUAGCUGAACUUUUCAUCAAGACGGAGCCCCUCCAAGCCGUGGAUGUGUACGCCCGCUAUCCCUUCUCAGACGAAGAGUCUUAUGAUGAUGCUUUUCUCCAUGGGGAGAUCCUCCGUCUCUUGAUGAAACAUGAAAAGUUUGAUGACACCAGACUGGAGAAGCACAUGAUUGCAUACGGCAGAAUACUUGGCAAAGGAUGCAUUGAGAAGUAUGUGCAGAUCUUGGAGGCUAAGUUCAAGAAUGAGCUGCUGAUGAACGUCUAUGCUGCCGUCAACCACAAAGCAGUGGAUGAUCCUGAUAUGCAGGCUUUCUUUAAAUUUAAGAUGUGGCUCUAAUGGAUUUAGAAUUUAGACUUUACAAUAAAAAAGAAUGAAAAGCUGUGAGCUUUCAAAUUCCCCCUUAAAUUUCAGCAACUACAGUGAUAUUUGAAACUUAUUGUGCCCCAUGUGAAGAUUCAAUAUUUGAAAGAAAUGUCUUGCAACUUCUUUUAAAGCAAGAUAACUACGGUACUGAAUAGAUUUUAACCAAACUUGGCUAAAAUGAAGAGCUCGGUUUCAGACGGUACGGAAUCCAUAAAUCCAAGUUUAAUUUGUUACUUUAGCUGAUUAAUAUAUUUUUUUUUUUGUGUGGAUGUAGUACCUUUUGGAACCAAAAUAUUGCAUAAUGUAUGCAAGUAUGACUUGAAUGGAUGUAGUACCGAACUGAUUUUUUAGUGCCAUUUAAAAAAUUCAAAAAUGGAUGAGGAUGAAGUGGUUAGAUUUUGAGUGUGAAAGAUUACAAACAUGUAAACAAACAAAAUAAAUCUAGUAAAUAAUAAUUUAUAAUAUAGGAUAUUUAUAUAGCGCACGUAUACACUAUGUGAGAUUAAUAAGUGGGAAGACUGCAUGAAGCUUGUUCAUUAUUUGAUGAUCCGUCCAUAGAAACUUUAAACUUUACGUGUAUAUUUUUGUGUGCCUUGCUGUGGGUUUUAUUAACAGAUGUCUACAGAGUUUUAUUUUGAAUAAAUUGAUGUUUUAAAGUUAA
This is a long non-coding RNA of Strongylocentrotus purpuratus (purple sea urchin), 1070 nucleotides long. RefSeq lists it as uncharacterized. The record is from RefSeq and is a predicted model, not a curated record. The transcript is spliced from 2 exons. Lineage: Eukaryota; Metazoa; Echinodermata; Echinoidea; Camarodonta; Strongylocentrotidae.